Molecule: transfer RNA, 55 nt
Filed under: Gnathostoma doloresi
Lineage: Eukaryota; Metazoa; Nematoda; Chromadorea; Rhabditida; Gnathostomatidae
Description: tRNA-Gly
Source: RNAcentral
GAUCUUUUAGUAUAAGUAGUAUGUUUAAUUUCCAAUUAAGUGGUUUUGAAGAUUA